Molecule: long non-coding RNA, 523 nt
Organism: Danio aesculapii
Lineage: Eukaryota; Metazoa; Chordata; Actinopteri; Cypriniformes; Danionidae
Exons: 2
Source: RefSeq, a predicted model, not a curated record
AGUGUUCACUUGUCCAUAUCUGACUGAUCACCGGAUGAGGAAUGAGGAAGUGAUGAGAGGCUUUACUGGAAGCCGGCUGAGGAGGGGCUGAUGGGAAGUCAUGGUCGGGAUAUCGAUUCCUGCGUCCUCUCAGAGCAGAUGGACGGGAAUGCUGUGAAGGUUUGCUGUCGGCCACUGACCUUUAACUUAAAAGAACUGGCCUGAGAUCAGCUUCAUUGCUGGGAGUUGAGUGAGUCACAGAGAAAGGAAUGCUGGGUAGCUGAAGGAGGCCGUUCGCGAAGGCUUGGGAAGAGGAACUUGAACAGGUAGAGACAGAUUCUGAUGAGAAAGAGAGUCUGGGUCGCUCUCAGAGGCACAUUCCGAUCCGAGCCGCUCCGCAGAGUCCUGGAAACACAGGAAGAGCAGCAUUGGAAGCAAACACUGAGCUGGAUCUCACAGUUCUUUCAAACAAACACACACUGUGCAUAGUAAUGGGAUGUCGAACAUUUCUCACCACUAUUAAACAUGCAACAGAUGUUUAAAA